UGGGGAAUUGUUCACAAUGGGCGCAAGCCUGAUGACGCAACGCCGCGUGGGGGAUGAAGGUCUUCGGAUCGUAAACCCCUGUCGAAUGGGACGAAAGACUCGCGAGUGAAUACUUCGCGAGAGUGACGGUACCGUUAAAGGAAGCCACGGCUAACUCUGUGCCAGCAGCCGCGGUAAUACAGAGGUGGCAAGCGUUGUUCGGAAUUACUGGGCGUAAAGGGCGCGUAGGCGGUUAUUCAAGUCAGAGGUGAAAGCCUGGAGCUCAACUCCAGAACUGCCUUUGAAACUAGAUAGCUAGAAUCACGGAGAGGUGAGUGGAAUUCCGAUUGUAGAGGUGAAAUUCGUAGAUAUUCGGAAGAACACCAGUGGCGAAGGCGGCUCACUGGACGUGUAUUGACGCUGAGGUACGAAAGCGUGGGGAGCAAACAGGAUUAGAUACCCGUGUAGUCCCUGAGCGGGCUGGCAAGGCGCAU
This 473-nucleotide ribosomal RNA is filed under the name uncultured bacterium. RNAcentral describes it as "bacterial SSU rRNA". It matches the Rfam family "Bacterial small subunit ribosomal RNA", at positions 355 to 825 of the family's 1533-position model. The record is from RNAcentral.